Long non-coding RNA from Brachypodium distachyon (stiff brome), 2095 nucleotides. RefSeq lists it as uncharacterized. The record is from RefSeq and is a predicted model, not a curated record. NCBI's taxonomy places the organism in Eukaryota, Viridiplantae, Streptophyta, Magnoliopsida, Poales, Poaceae. The transcript has 3 exons.
UAAUUAGAGUUCAGAAUAACAAGUUGCAGCAAUCAAGUCACUAAAAGGUAACACGAAUGGAUGAAUUUUGUGUGUCUAGAUUUACUCGAAGUGUUACUAUGUGAUCUGAAUUUUUGAAUCUUAAAUUUUUGGUCUAGCACUCAUGCAGUGUACUAAUGUGUGAGAUAUAUAUGCAUAAUUACUGGUCUUGAAACUGAGACUUAAAUGUCUUGUCAAAUUAGAUCCAGGGAACAUGAUUGAAACAUGAUCCUGAACGUAUUAUCUUUUACAGGAUGGCAGCACUUACUUUCUUCAUGCUGACUACCAACAAGGUGUUCUAUGAAUCUCAUGAUGAUACUCAUGUGAAUAAAAAGAUAUAUGGCUGAGUUGCUUGCCGCGAGGCAAAAAAAUGCCCCGUUCCUUCAAGUUCUUCCCUUCUAUACCAGGCUCUUAAACCAAGGUUCUUUCUUUUGCUUUCAGGCAUUACUAUAAUCCUGCCUGUUUAUGUGCUCUUUAACAAUUUACUAGAUAAUAUUAUGAGUUGUUAAUAAUGCAAUGCAUUCAAUCAUCCACUCACUAUCACCAAUUAUUUUGUUUAAUUACUUUAUUUUACCCAAGGCUGAAGUACUGCUUUCUAGCUCAUUGUUCGCUUUCUGUUGUUAUUCCUGCCGAUUCCUAGCAACAAACAAUUGUUAUUGAACACCAGAACGCUGCUAUAACCUUUUCAUCAUGGGGUCAUUUCAUUCCUGACCUUGGUUCUUAAGUGUAGCACCAGGAUGAAUAUUUCUACACAGGGAUAUCGGCUUGAAGCCUGGCUUGUUAGAUAAUGGUCUCCCCUGAAUUUUCAGCUGGGCCAAUUUAUGGUAAUCAUAUAUGAUUUUCUGCACUUCAUAUAUUUCUUUUUACGAUAUCACAUAUUAAACAUGCAAGAAUUUUUGUUCUUUUUUACUGUGGCAAGAUGACAAGAUUCCUAUCUGAGUAAUUUUACUCCGAAUUUGUACUAAUGAGACUUUCACCUUAGCCAAAGUUGUUCUCCACCAUGCAUCUAUAGGAAACUUCUGCGUUCAUGCAAGGAGCAUACAUAAGUGCAACCUUUCUGUUCAUCCAGUAAUGCAUUCAGGACUAAUCUUGGCUAAUAGAUUGAUUGAAUCAUUCUUGUCAGGCCAUUACUGGCAACAAGCACGCUAAGUAUUGUUUGCACUCUUCUUGAUCAGAAAUGAAUGAUGAUUUGCAGGUCCUGGGUUGUCUGAUGCUUGUCGAUUUUCUGAAUGGACAGCUUAUUGACGAAGUAACAAUCUUCAUUAAAUUUAUUUCCUAGGUAUUUGCCAUCUGCGUAAUUUUGAAUUGAGUGUUUAUCUAGGCCUGAUGAUGUCUAUUUUCAGUUGCAAACAUGCCAAGAAAUUAUUCUUCGUGUUUAUAGCAUGCUUAGGAUGUUUUUUCUAGAUUCUGAAGGGAUUUCUUGAGCAAUCAGUUUUGCAUACGUCGUGGAGUUUAAAGCCAUGGAUACAACUAAAGACUAAAGUGUAGAAAUACAUGAGUUUUUACUUUUUACAGUCAUAGCUUUCUGUUUCUAUUUACAGAGGACUGCUAUCGAGUAAACAUGUUUUUUCUUAGGCUGUUAUUGUUGCUCUUUGGUUGGCCAGUGCUGGAAAAGAAUCUACGCCCUGGCAGCACUACAAAAUUAGAAGCUUUGGUAGGGCGGUACUUCCCUUUCGUACAUGUUUUCUCUUGGGUAUAUCCUGAUGUUGUGUAAGAUCAUGGAUAAUGCCUUGUAUUUUGAUGCAAUAUGGGAGAUUUCAAGCUUGAAUGUAUAUGUUCCAACACCUGUAACUUCAGAGGACUUGAAGAAAGCAUAUGAGAAUGAAGUACAGGAGAAGCCACUCUGUUAAAGCAGCGAGAAGUGUCCAUUGACUAAAAUUUGAUCGGUCUUCACAGGGGAUAUUUGAGCAAUACGGUUAGCAUCAUUUGUAAACAUAACAUUUGAGUGAGAUGAGCAGCAAUAGCAAGGCAAGUAACAAUGUUGGGGUAUCUUUUCCUUGUUUAAUUGAUUCAUUUGACUUCUGUGUGACCAAUUGAUUUAAUGGUUUAGGCUAAUAUGACUUAAGUUUUAUGUCAA